CCUACGGGAGGCUGCAGUGGGGAAUAUUGCACAAUGGGCGCAAGCCUGAUGCAGCCAUGCCGCGUGUGUGAAGAAGGCCUUCGGGUUGUAAAGCACUUUCAGCGGGGAGGAAGGCGUUAAGGUUAAUAACCUUGGCGAUUGACGUUACCCGCAGAAGAAGCACCGGCUAACUCCGUGCCAGCAGCCGCGGUAAUACGGAGGGUGCAAGCGUUAAUCGGAAUUACUGGGCGUAAAGCGCACGCAGGCGGUCUGUCAAGUCGGAUGUGAAAUCCCCGGGCUCAACCUGGGAACUGCAUUCGAAACUGGCAGGCUAGAGUCUUGUAGAGGGGGGUAGAAUUCCAGGUGUAGCGGUGAAAUGCGUAGAGAUCUGGAGGAAUACCGGUGGUGAAGGCGGCCCCCUGGACAAAGACUGACGCUCAGGUGCGAAAGCGUGGGGAGCAAACAGGAUUAGAUACCCUUGUAGUC
RNAcentral lists this ribosomal RNA (465 nucleotides) under uncultured Klebsiella sp. Its description in RNAcentral is "bacterial SSU rRNA". It matches the Rfam family "Bacterial small subunit ribosomal RNA", at positions 338 to 795 of the family's 1533-position model. Lineage: Bacteria; Pseudomonadati; Pseudomonadota; Gammaproteobacteria; Enterobacterales; Enterobacteriaceae. The record is from RNAcentral.